CUUCCCCCCCCCUCCCGCCCUCCGCGCCGCUCGCGUGAGCCCCGCAGCCAAUCGGCGGCCGCCGGGGGGCGGGGAGCGGCGGGGGCGGGGUGGCGCGAGCUGUGCUGCGGGGCGCGCGCCGCACGUGGGCUGGGGGUGGGGGGUCGGGGGUCGCGUCCCGUCCCCGUCGUGUUCCCACCACCACCACCUCCCCCCCCCCCCCGGCCCGGUCAGCGCCGCGCUCCCGGCCGGGACUCCCGGCAUCCCUGGGAGCCUGCCCCGCCCGCGGCCUCCCUCCCGCCGCUGAGCCCGGGCCGGGGGCGGCUGCAGGUAACGCGCGUAGGGAGGAACUGCCCCGAACCCCCCCCCGUGACUCUCCGUGAGCGGCUGCCGGGCACGGAGCUGGCGGGUUGCAGCUCCCAGCGCUGCAGUAGCAGGCGGGGAAGCCGAGGGAGGGGCUGCACGUCUGCGGGGAGGUUGUGCUGGUGGCUGAAGCCUCGGUGCAGCCACCCCUUGGGUGCAACGGGCGGUUUGGGCUCCGCAUCGCCCGGUGUGGCCGAGCGGGAGGAAGGCAGCUGGAGUUACCGAGGGGGUGAGAGCGACAGAGGAGAAGCUUCAAAGAAGCUUAAUUCUCUCCGGUUUGGAAAGAAGAGGUGGGGUGAUGGGAUGGAGUUGUACAAGACCACGAAGGCAGUGACGGGUGACACAGUUAUAGUUCAGUUGCAAAACCGGCGUCUGGUUCCAGCUUGAAAUUUUGAUUAUUUUGGGGCUAAAUGGGCUGGGUGUGUCAGGAUCAGGGGAUUUUACGUUAGGUCUCCGUUAAAUAAGAGUUUGCAAACAGUCCUGAUGGAGCAAGUACACUGUGUACCUUCUGCACAAUGGUCGAGUCAGGAGAGGUUAUUUCAAGACCUGGAUGGGAGAUACGUCCCGAGGCAAAUAGGAAGAUCAGCAGACUAACCUGCAGUCAGACACAGACUUGGAACAGAUCCACAGCAAAAAAUUCUUCCACCUACAGCCUGCCUCAAAUUCUCUUCCUGCACAGCCUGCAGAGUUCCCUUGUCAGACCUGAGGCCGGUCUGUACCACUCCCACCAAGAUAGAGCAAAUUUGUCGUUACUUUUGCCAAAACCUUUCCCAUUCCUUCCAAGAAGCCUGCUAUGGGUACAAGAGCACACUUGCAUUUCAAAUUUCGCAGCCCACGGAUGGGUAAAAGUUGGUCAGGUCACAGAACUCAGAGCCACUGUGAGACUAUUCGCAGGCUCCCACCAAAUCUGCAGCCGGAGAUUUUUGGCCUAAAUAGUUCAAUUAUGCUAUUUCAGUCAAGCGUGCUUGACCGACCAACCCUGUGUUGGGCAGAACGCUAUGACAGGCGGUAUUUAAAAUCUAGAAGACCCUAGAGAUAACGUUAAUUCAGCUUUAAUGCUAAGGUACGGCUCCCCUGCAGCUGCGGUUCACUAAGGGAGCGAGUGUUGCAGUGUGCUGACCCUCGUAGGGGAGCCGCGUUGGCAAGAUAACCUGCUGCGACCUCGUCUGGACUUUGGCUUGGGCCCAGUGCCUUGCUUGCCCUUUUUGUAUUACUCUGUUAAAGAACUGCUUGUGAGCAGAAAAAGCAAUUAUUGCCUAAGAUAUGGAUUGUGGCACUCUUCCAUGCACGUUUUGGCUUUGCUGCUACUCUGGGCUUAAGGCUUGCUUGCUGCCUCGUAUUUGUGGGCAGGGAGCUAUGGCACGUACAAUAUUAAUAAUUGCACAAGCUAAUAAUCUCACUUCUGAGACACGUUUUUGCAAACUUCUAAUUUUGUAGGACUUGUUCUGCGCAAGUUAAGGGAAAACCGAUAAAGAAGGACCCAACAAGAUACUGCAACCCUGAUCUGACUGAAUAGCUGCCUGCUCAGAAGCGGAGGCUUUGGGAUCUCCCCUUUUGGGCCAGCUGAGGAAGACUCAGCCGAUGCCCUGACAGAGAAGGCGGCACAGCCCUGACCUUGCUCCAGGCCCUUUUCCACGGGGUUGCAGUACUCUGUUCUGGGAAGAAGCCCGAGGGGUAAAGCAGCAUGGGAAUACUGCUGAUAGCCCAGCUGGCCUUGGAUGCCAGCCCAGGCUACUCUGUCCUGGGAGAAACUUACCCUUGAUUGGAACAGGGACAAGAUAGUCUUGGAAAGGGAAGGAGUCACGUGAAUUAAAAAAGCAUUUGGGACCUUUAUUUUUGCCCCCGUAAGUACCUGGGGUUUUCGGGAGGUCUCCUUGUCACGUGAACGGGGCUGUAUACUGGGAAGAGCAGGCUGUCUCUAUGAUGUUACUUAAACGAACAUCGGUGAUGAAUCCCGUGGCGUAAGGCCAGGUGACGUGGCGCACGCUGUUCGGGACUUGCUUUGUAAUAUCCAGGUGCCUUGGAGAGAUGUUCUCAGAGCAGUCCCAAAACCAAAGCCAGGGAGUGAGCUAAUUGCUAAGCAGCGUGGAUGGUGGGGGAGUUGAGAACGCUCGGCGUACUCCCUGCUCCUCAUCAAUGUAGCAGUAUCAGAUAUGUCAACGUGUCUGAAUAAAAGUUUAGGCAGCCAAAAAUGUCAGAUGUGCGCAUGAGCCUCAUUAGGCAGCUACGAUAUCCCGGUCUCCGCGCCUCGUGCCGCAGACGGGAGCGAUGUGGGAGCAUCUCACUGCGUUUAGAUUCUCUGCUCCAGGUGCCCACGUACCCAUUUGCAGCUGGAUUAACAAAGCACGGCUUUCGGCACGGGUCCAGGGCCAGACUGAGUCUUUAGCAAGAGCCCGUAGCUGGUGGGCAGUGCUGCAGUCCUCCAGUUUACCUGUGCAGGUGAUAACUGGUUAUAUUGGGGAAUCAGCUUGAGCAGCAAUUGCUGAAUGAAGAAAAGUAGAGCCUGCCGUUCCAGGUUUUAGUGGGUCUCACAGCCUGAGAACAUUCUCUGCUAAUAUCUUCAGUGUCUGACAAAUCCGAUGUCUGGAAGUAAAUGCCGUAUCUCAUCUCAGCCGUGAGAGUGGCUGGAGGUGUGAAGAAUUCCGCCUGCCUCCAGAGCGAGCAGGUAUCAAUGGCACGAGGUGGUCCGGCUGGGAAUCCGAGGUGCAGCAUUUAACUUAUUGGAAUAAAAUCAGACAGGAAAACAAAAAAAAAAUGAGGAAAGAAGCCAAACGGGGAACUUCUCAUUGCAGGAGAAAUCUUCCUCCUAAACAUUUUUAAAUAUCGGAACAAUCUGGAAACAUUUUAACUUGGAAGAUAUUUAAUGUUUUGCCCUCUCCUCAUGCUGCUUUCCAACUUGUGUGCUUUUUUUUUUUCCCCCUCCAUGUAUUUGUUUUCCCCCUUGCGACAGGUGAUCCAGCUUUUCCCUGCUACUCGUGCAGUUCUCUGUGUUUGAACUUCACUUCUGGAAGGAGCUUCUCUUGUCCGAUAAGAACUGUUCUUUCCAGCAGAAGGGGUUUUUUACACUCACUUAUUGGCCUUCUUUUCCCAUGCUUCCACUCUCAUUGUUUUUCUCCGUCGGUUUGUUCUCCUGCCAUCUGUGCGCUUGUCUCACGCCUCCAUCAUAAAGUUUAUGAAAUCCAGACAGAAAAAUAUUCUGCUGCUAAAAAAGCGAGGCAUUAAACUCAUCCUUCUGCUCAGGUCAGUGGAGGUGACGUGUGCGCGCAGACAGCCGCUUCCUUCAGUAAACUGUAUAGGGCCUUGGAGAUGUUGCUGUGCUGUCUCUUCUCCAGGGAGCUGUCGGAAUAUGGACAUUUGUAAAAGAGAGCAAAUUUCAGAAGAGAGCUGGAGGCCUUUGCGAAAGGAGGUUGGGAGUUUCAUGCCAUCAGUGAGCGUGAGCAUCAGUCAGCUCCACCCAUCUCCGUUGCUUCUCAAAAGCCGGGACAAACGAGGUACCAAGGAUUGCAUCAAGAAAACAAAAUCUUUACGUUCGCCACGCUGAUUCUGCAGGCCGAAGAAGAGAUGACAUACCGAGCCGUAUUUGUGCUGCUGGCAUCAGUAGAAUUGUACUUCAGCCGUAUUUAGCUUCUGGUGCUGCUGUUCCUGGAGACAGUGAUUCCUUCCUUCUAAAUCAGGAAAGUGCUUUCUGUAGUUCUGGAAGGAAUGCCAAAUCACAUCUUGCAUCACCCGGGUACCUCAGCGUACUCCUGUGCUUGAAAGUCCCUCGCCCAGAUACCACAGGCUGGUUCCCUGCCUCCAUCGGACUGACACCUCUGCGACCCACCUUUACACCACCCGGAUGGAAUACGCUACUUUUCCACCAGAAAAGAUUUUGCUGUUGAGGGGUACGUCUCCCCGUGCUCUACAGUUGCAGUGCUGUGUCUGGAACUCGUGUCUUUCCUCCACUGUCCUCCAGUCUUGAUGUUUAUGGAAUUCAGCAGUCAGGAAAGACCUGUCCCACGUAGCUUCUUUCCUUUUUGUAGGCCAGGUGGGGGCAGCAGCCUUCAGACGUGCAGGCGAUGUUCCCCUUUCCGUCACAGAGUGAGGAGGGUGCAGCAGGCUGGGUUUGCACUCCGCUGCACGCCCGGGGCUCUGGGGCGGCAUUAGAUGGGUCUUCACUCCUAAAGAGGUCCCAGAAGUGAAGUAGAGCUCUGGACCUCUAUUGUCUAUGCCACCUGAUUGCUAAUUCACUCUCUUGCUCUUUUUUGGGCCUUUUGAAUCCGAUCUGAGAUAAAUAUUUUAUAGAGAGGUCUGGCCCUGAGUAGGGUAGAAGCAGCCAGUCGUUACCAUUUGCCCUCAGGAGCAGCAGUCGGUGGCUGGCUCUUCUUCAGCAGCAUCGAUGUUAAGGAUCUUUUGCAUAGCAGGAGAGAAAAAGGAGGCAGGAAUGAAUGAUGAAAUCCUCAAGUAAAAAAGUUUUUGGUUUGCCCCUCCUCUUCGCCCAUUUUCAUCUUAUUUGAGGUCGUUACUGCAACAUUUGUUGUGCUUCAAACUGGAAUUUUUUCAAAGUCAUGAAUAGCUUUGUGAACUGAAGAAAAGACUCAGAAGGAGACAUUUUUAAUCUGUUUGAAGUUCUUAGCGUACUUAAAAUUUCUGUAAUAAAACUGUCAGUCCAUGAAGUUGGGCCGCUAAGAGCACAGAGAGAAAUGUAGUUCGCUAAAGCAACCGAGCAACAGCUCGUUGGAGAAGUACCAUUAGUUUCUAGGAACGCGGCACUUUUGAAAAGGCUUUCAAUUUAAGCCUGAUUUUUUUAUUAUUUUUUUUCUCUAGAGGAAUAACGAACAGUGAAUUUUAGCGACUUAGUUUUCAAAUGCUCGUGUUGAAACAGCCUCGGGACUCUGAUCGCUCCUGCUGCGAGCGCUUGGACGUUACAGCAGGAGAAUUCAGCAGCGUGAGCAGCAGCGUUCUGCAGGUUCGUAUUUUCAAGCUGACUGGCAGUGAUUUUAGGUUAUCCUGCAAUGCUGGGUUGAUAAACUACAUCAUCCUUCAGCAGGACUAUGGGUGUCCAAAGCUGUGAGUGGGGUGAAGGGCUUGGGGGAGGCUUUUUGAGGCAAGCUGCUCCCUUCGCCUUUAUUUUCAGCAGGGUGGCUGAGCAGCCCCCCUUCGCUGCAAGGUGUCUUGAAAGCGCUUCGAAUUGCAAAUGAAAGAAACAACGCGCCCAUGACUGUUAUUAGCUUUUGAAAUACCGGGUUCAGACAGGCGGAUGUGGCUUUAGGCAUCCACGUCUGGACCUCCUGACAAAAAUCAAGGCAGUAAAAAAAUCCGUUGUGGUUUUGAUGGGACUGUUACUGAUAGUAACAACAGACUCUGCUUUUGAUUUCUCUGCUGGACCAGGCUUUGAAUGUACAUGAAAAAGAAUCAAGGAAAGAAGUUGAAGCAAACUAGUUAAAACUCUCAAAAGAACCAUUUUUAAACAUAGAAGCAUUCAGAGUACAAAACCUCUUUUUCAGGACCCCUGGCUCAUUCCUAGGGGCCGUUUCUUACAUUUCUGCUAAAUCAGUUGAGAAAGUCACUAAAGCAUAGCAACAUUGCAGUGUCCCUAGGAAAAAAAAAAAAAAAACCAACACCAAAGAGCCUUGAGAAAACUCUGAAUAGCGCAGAAAGCAAGAACAAAUGUUUUAUAUAUGUGGUAUUGUUAAAACUCCCAAGUGGCGUAAAUAUAAUAAACAAUAGUGAAGAAUGGGAUAUUUCUGUUUGUUUCCCCACACUCGAGACGACCUAACCUACCUCAGGCAUGGUUCCAC
Long non-coding RNA from Grus americana (Whooping crane), 6122 nucleotides. RefSeq lists it as uncharacterized. The record is from RefSeq and is a predicted model, not a curated record. The transcript is spliced from 3 exons. NCBI's taxonomy places the organism in Eukaryota, Metazoa, Chordata, Aves, Gruiformes, Gruidae.